GACUAGGGUGAGACAAGUUUCUUGUCUUCACUCUGUUACUUUGAGCAAAUUGGAGUGCUCCAACCAGGCUAAAGCUUGAACAGCUCAGCAUGGAAUAACGAGAUAGGACUUUGGUUCUUCUUGUUGGUGUCAUGAACCGAUAGUAAUGGUUGACAAGGACAUACGGGGGCAUUUGUACUUGCUGGAGAGAGGUGAAAUUCUAAGACCCUGCAAAGACAAACAAGUGCGAAAGCAUUUGCCCAGUGUGUGCCUGUUGAUCAAGGACGAAAGUUGGGGGAUCGAAGACGAUUAGGUACCGUCGUAGUCCCAACUAUAAACUAUGCCGACUGAGGAUCGGUGGCCGUACAUAUACGACUCCUUCGGCACUCCAAGAGAAAUCUAAGUCUCUGGGCCCUGGGGGGAGUAUGGUCGCAAGGCUGAAACUUAAAGGAAUUGACGGAAGGGCACCACCAGGAGUGGAGCCUGCGGCUUAAUUUGACUCAACGCGGGGAACCUCACCAGGCCCGGACAUAGUCAUGAUUGACAGACUGAGAGUUCUUUCUCGAUUCUAUGGGUGGUGGUGCAUGGCCGUUCUUAGUCGGUGAGGUGACUUGUCUGGUUAAUUCCGAUAACGGACGAGACCUCGACCUGCUAACUAGUGACUGUUUACUCUGUAAGCGGUUUACUUCUUAGAGGGACUUUGGGA
Molecule: ribosomal RNA, 685 nt
Filed under: uncultured eukaryote
Lineage: Eukaryota
Description: bacterial SSU rRNA
Rfam family: Eukaryotic small subunit ribosomal RNA
Source: RNAcentral